Long non-coding RNA from Rhinolophus ferrumequinum (greater horseshoe bat), 577 nucleotides. RefSeq lists it as uncharacterized. NCBI's taxonomy places the organism in Eukaryota, Metazoa, Chordata, Mammalia, Chiroptera, Rhinolophidae. The record is from RefSeq and is a predicted model, not a curated record. The transcript has 5 exons.
AUGCAGAAUUAGGAGCUGGGAACGCAAGGACUGGAGACGUGCCUGCCACCCAGACGUGUAUGUGGAGCGGAGGGGCCUGCCCUGAAUAGUCAUUCCAUGUGCAAGGAACUUUGAAACCCUGGCUGCAUCUUCUCAGACAAGCGGCAUGAGCAAGGCUGCUGGAAUGCACCUCCUCUGCAGGCUGACGGCUUCUGUGUGACAUCUGGUGACUUCCCUGGGACCACUGCUAAAAGCUGCUCUGCGAGGCCUUGGAAUCCCGAGCUUAUUGUUGGAGAGCAGAAGAAAUCCUCAGGACUUGCUGCUUCCAGCUCCAGUUCCGGGCCAGAUGCCAGGUGAAAGGGGGCGUCUGCAUUGAUGGGCUCCCACUCAGCAGUGGGUCCUGGGCUGAACCUCCAAGAUUUACAAGCUCAGGCGGAGGAGGACUGCUGCCUUCAGACCCAGCAGAGGCUCCCACUGUGUGGCCCAGACUGCCUGCUUCCAAGCUUCUGGGAGCUGGGUUCCCUUCAGUGAAGAAAACAUUAACGUCAUUCGGCGGAUAAAGAAACCGAGCCUUGGAGAUGUGAAGCCGCACUGUUCA